AUUGAACGCUGGCGGCAGGCCUAACACAUGCAAGUCGGACGGUAGCACAGAGAGCUUGCUCUCGGGUGACGAGUGGCGGACGGGUGAGUAAUGUCUGGGGAUCUGCCCGAUAGAGGGGGAUAACCACUGGAAACGGUGGCUAAUACCGCAUAACGUCGCAAGACCAAAGAGGGGGACCUUCGGGCCUCUCACUAUCGGAUGUACCCAGAUGGGAUUAGCUAGUAGGCGGGGUAAUGGCCCACCUAGGCGACGAUCCCUAGCUGGUCUGAGAGGAUGACCAGCCACACUGGAACUGAGACACGGUCCAGACUCCUACGGGAGGCAGCAGUGGGGAAUAUUGCACAAUGGGCGCAAGCCUGAUGCAGCCAUGCCGCGUGUAUGAAGAAGGCCUUCGGGUUGUAAAGUACUUUCAGCGGGGAGGAAGGCGGUGAGGUUAAUAACCUUGCCGAUUGACGUUACCCGCAGAAGAAGCACCGGCUAACUCCGUGCCAGCCGCCGCGGUAA
Molecule: ribosomal RNA, 504 nt
Filed under: uncultured bacterium
Lineage: Bacteria
Description: partial 16S ribosomal RNA
Rfam family: Bacterial small subunit ribosomal RNA
Source: RNAcentral